GCGCCCGUAGCUCAGCUGGAUAGAGCGUUGGCCUCCGAAGCCAAAGGUCGUGCGUUCGAAUCGCGCCGGGCGCGCCA
This 77-nucleotide transfer RNA is filed under the name Nitrospiraceae bacterium. RNAcentral's name for it is "tRNA-Arg". It matches the Rfam family "tRNA". Rfam says of the family: Transfer RNA (tRNA) molecules are approximately 80 nucleotides in length. Their secondary structure includes four short double-helical elements and three loops (D, anti-codon, and T loops). RNAcentral also lists the same sequence under 1 other name. The record is from RNAcentral. Lineage: Bacteria; Pseudomonadati; Nitrospirota; Nitrospiria; Nitrospirales; Nitrospiraceae.